AUUACCGAGUUUACAACUCCCAAACCCCUGUGAACAUACCUUAAUGUUGCCUCGGCGGAUCAGCCCGCGCCCCGUAAAACGGGACGGCCCGCCAGAGGACCCAAACUCUAAUGUUUCUUAUUGUAACUUCUGAGUAAAACAAACAAAUAAAUCAAAACUUUCAACAACGGAUCUCUUGGUUCUGGCAUCGAUGAAGAACGCAGCAAAAUGCGAUAAGUAAUGUGAAUUGCAGAAUUCAGUGAAUCAUCGAAUCUUUGAACGCACAUUGCGCCCGCUGGUAUUCCGGCGGGCAUGCCUGUUCGAGCGUCAUUUCAACCCUCAAGCCCCCGGGUUUGGUGUUGGGGAUCGGCUCUGCCUUCUGGCGGUGCCGCCCCCGAAAUACAUUGGCGGUCUCGCUGCAGCCUCCAUUGCGUAGUAGCUAACACCUCGCAACUGGAACGCGGCGCGGCCAUGCCGUAAAACCCCAACUUCUGAAUGUUGACCUCGGAUCAGGUAGGAAUACCCGCUGAACUUAAGCAUAUCAA
Molecule: ribosomal RNA, 524 nt
Filed under: Fusarium tricinctum
Lineage: Eukaryota; Fungi; Ascomycota; Sordariomycetes; Hypocreales; Nectriaceae
Description: eukaryotic LSU rRNA
Rfam family: 5.8S ribosomal RNA (bases 156-309)
Source: RNAcentral